This 374-nucleotide ribosomal RNA is filed under the name uncultured organism. RNAcentral describes it as "partial 16S ribosomal RNA". It matches the Rfam family "Bacterial small subunit ribosomal RNA", at positions 527 to 896 of the family's 1533-position model. The record is from RNAcentral.
GUAGGUGGCAGGCGUUGUCCGGGAAUUAUUGGGCGUAAAGCGCGCGCAGGCGGUUCUUUAAGUCUGAUGUGAAAGCCCACGGGCUCAACCGUGGAGGGUCAUUGGAAACUGGAGAACUUGAGUACAGAAGAGGAAAGCGGAAUUCCACGUGUAGCGGUGAAAUGCGUAGAGAUGUGGAGGAACACCAGUGGCGAAGGCGGCUUUCUGGUCUGUAACUGACGCUGAGGCGCGAAAGCGUGGGGAGCAAACAGGAUUAGAUACCCUAGUAGUCCACGCCGUAAACGAUGAGUGCUAAGUGUUAGGGGGGUUUCCGCCCCUUAGUGCUGCAGCUAACGCAUUAAGCACUCCGCCUGGGGAGUACGGCCGCAAGGCUG